UACGGGGGAUGCAAGCGUUAUCCGGAUUUAUUGGGUUUAAAGGGUGCGUAGGCUGUGAGGUAAGUCAGCGGUGAAAUGCCCCCGCUCAACGGGGUGAAGUGCCAUUGAUACUGCCUUGCUGGAAUGCGGAUGCCGUGGGAGGAAUGUGUGGUGUAGCGGUGAAAUGCAUAGAUAUCACACAGAACACCGAUUGCGAAGGCAGCCUUCCGGCGCCCUACUGACGCUGAGGCACGAAAGUGCGGGGAUCGAACAGG
Molecule: ribosomal RNA, 254 nt
Filed under: uncultured bacterium
Lineage: Bacteria
Description: partial 16S ribosomal RNA
Rfam family: Bacterial small subunit ribosomal RNA
Source: RNAcentral